UAGGGAAUCUUCCACAAUGGACGCAAGUCUGAUGGAGCAACGCCGCGUGAGUGAAGAAGGUUUUCGGACCGUAAAGCUCUGUUGUUGGUGAAGAAGGAUAGAGGUAGUAACUGGCCUUUAUUUGACGGUAAUCAACCAGAAAGUCACGGCUAACUACGUGCCAGCAGCCGCGGUAAUACGUAGGUGGCAAGCGUUGUCCGGAUUUAUUGGGCGUAAAGCGAGCGCAGGCGGAAGAAUAAGUCUGAUGUGAAAGCCCUCGGCUUAACCGAGGAAUUGCAUCGGAAACUGUUUUUCUUGAGUGCAGAAGAGGAGAGUAGAACUCCAUGUGUAGCGGUGGAAUGCGUAGAUAUAUGGAAGAAUACCAGUGGCGAAGGCGGCUCUCUGGUCUGCAACUGACGCUGAGGCUCGAAAGCAUGGGUAGCGAACAGGAUUAGAUACCCUGGUAGUCCAUGCCGUAAACGAUGAGUGCUAAGUGUUGGGAGGCUUCCGCCUCUCAGUGCUGCAGCUAACGCAUUAAGCACUCCGCCUGGGGGAGUACGACCGCAAGGUUGAAA
This 554-nucleotide ribosomal RNA is filed under the name uncultured bacterium. RNAcentral describes it as "partial 16S ribosomal RNA". It matches the Rfam family "Bacterial small subunit ribosomal RNA", at positions 355 to 899 of the family's 1533-position model. The record is from RNAcentral.